This is a non-coding RNA of Petromyzon marinus (sea lamprey), 104 nucleotides long. Lineage: Eukaryota; Metazoa; Chordata; Hyperoartia; Petromyzontiformes; Petromyzontidae. The record is from RefSeq and is a predicted model, not a curated record.
GGAGUUCCGGCAGUACAUAAACUAAAAUUGGAACGAUACAGAGAAGAUUAGCAUGGCCCCUGAGCAAGGAUGACAAGCAAAUUCGAGAGAGACGGGGGAGAGAU